Pleuronectes platessa (European plaice) is the source of this 4144-nucleotide long non-coding RNA. RefSeq lists it as uncharacterized. The record is from RefSeq and is a predicted model, not a curated record. The transcript is spliced from 3 exons. Lineage: Eukaryota; Metazoa; Chordata; Actinopteri; Pleuronectiformes; Pleuronectidae.
UCUUGUCUUUUGAGUCAAACUGUGUAAAACAGAACAAACCUACAGUUUGCUUCCUCUAGCAGAUUUGUACUUCCGCUGUCUGCACAGACGCUGACAAAAACAUGCACUUCAGCAGAACUGCCGACCACACUGUCGCCCCACCGUCAUGAGCCUAACCUUUGCCGAACCGCAGAGCACUUCCUGGUUGAAUCUUCACUGUCGUUCUCACAGGGGAAUCUUUCAAAUCUCACCACAUUGCACACUCUGCUCCUCCCAGAGACACGCUAUAGUCUCACACUCCUUACCCUCAAAGCCCCGGUGACGAGCCGCCGGGCAUGAGAAGCUCCUCUCCCACGCUCUCCUCUCCACUUGGGGCCAAUGAGACUCAAUCCUCUGCACCGGGUUUGGAUUUCAGCGGGUGCUCCUCUGCCCAAAGAGAUUCGCCUGACUUCUUUCCUCCUGAGGCGUUGGUCCGACGUAUCUUCAGCACCAGCAGGGAUAUCACCAACAGGGAGCAUAUGCCAAGCACUACAAGAAUCCCUAUCCAGGUAGCCGACUUGCAUUGUUGCUCGAACUCAACUUCUCCUACAAAGAAGGCAAAGAUAUGUAUCACCUGCAUCCAACCACACGUGUACGCAAUUUCACAUCGAGUCGAGUGGUGCUCACCUUCUGUAAAGACAUUAACUGUCAAGUGUCCAGACGUUUCCACCGCGACCUUCCUCCAUCCACGAGACAGAGAGGGCAGCCACUCCUCUACCUCGCAGAAAUACAGGCCGCUGUUUUCAGGAGCUGGCUUCGAGACCGUAAGGCUGAACUGGUUCAGUGCAGGGUGGCCAAAUCUUAGCUGAUGACCCUCAACUAACAUGUCUUGUAGGGUAGCGUUUCGAUAAGCGACGAAUAUGGGCCGUUUCUGAAUUCCUGUUUCCUUCUGCCAAAACCAUGUGACCUGGAACUCCGAUUCACCGCUGGGCUGGUUAGUGACGUGGCAGGGGAUGGUGAAGUCCCCGGAUCGGCUCACAUUUAGCUCCCGCUCAUCCUUUACAACGGACAGGUUUUUUUCUAUAAAAAAAAAAGCACACAGGUAAAAAGACAUAUUUCGUUCAGCUCAAGUGAAACAAGAUGAUUGGUUUCAGUGGGACCUUAAGUUAAAUCCCAUAGCACACAGCCAAAGGAGACUUAAUGGGAAAUAGACAAAGAGGAGUGAAGAUGGUCUACAGAAAGCCGAAAGAGAAAUCUAUAUCUGUAAUAGUAGAUUUAGGGAACCAUCAACAACACCACUAUGGCAAAACAAAAGCCAGCACCAUUAGAGAAUAGUUAUUUUGCAAAGAAUAUAUGAGAUUAUGCAGCACAAGCCAAGUCAAAUUGAUAUUAAAGACCAUACACUCCAAUAAUAUUUUUUAUUAUCAUUGUAAUUUCUUGAAAGUAAUAGUGUAGUACCUAGAGAAAUUCUCUUACUUGCAGUUUUAUCAAGUGUUUGAUGAAAAAAAUUAUAUUUCUCUCAUCAAUGUUUAGUUUAUUGUGAAGAUGGCUUGAGCAGCCUACGUUAGAUAAUUCACUGCAUAUAAAGAUGGAGGACCUGUCUCCACUUCCUGAUCAACUCUUCCUUUAAACACCCAUGCAAACACACAACCAAACACACACAGCUACACAUAGAUUUCUCUAUAAAAAGUCAUCGUACCAGCAACAUUCACUGUCAGCGAGAAAGGACCAGCGCUCUCUGAGGCCUUCUGCUGCCAGUGACCUUCACGAUCCAGCUGGUAUUGCUCCACCUGGCACUGGAACGUCCCACUAUCCCCCUCAUGGGCCGUCUGAAUUCUGAGGUGGAAGAUGCUCUGUGUGGGUCGGGCGAGACGAAGCCGCCCCUGCAGAUCUCUGAGCGCCCCGCUCUCAGGGUACCGCAGCAAACCCAUGUGAUCGAGCUCUACUAAGGAGACGUUUGUCAUGGGGGAACUGUGUCCAGUGUAGAUCCAGGCCACUUUGUAAAAGACAGAAGGACUGAAUGCACCGGAGAGGAUGUUACACUUGAGUUCCACCUCGUCUCCCUCUUCUGCAAUCAACCGCUGCUGCCCAACCACUAACCGAAGAUUGUUGGCUGGAAAACCAGAGAGACGUCAAUAUUUUGUUAAGUUAUUCCUUUUUUUUAUGGUAUGAAUUAAAUGUGGCUGAUUAUGUAUAUAGUUAUAGAAGUGGAUAAACAAACUUACGAGGCUCAAUAAGAUUUAGCUCAGUGAUUCGGGACUUUGGCGGGAGCUGAUACCAGCUUCCACGAGGUUCUUGUAGCCACUCCGUCACCUCGCAUACGUACGAGCCAUCGUCCGAGAUCCGAGCUUGCCGAAUAGUCAACUCAAAACUUCGACCCUCGCUGCGCCUCAUGCUGAUUCGUUGUCUGUCGCUCGGCUCCAACUGGUUCCCAAAUGUUACGAGGGCUACCCGGUCCCAGGUUAGGAUGGUCUUAUUUUUUCCCUGUUGCUGGUGCAGCCAGGUAACGGCGUAUUGAGAGGAUGCAAAGGGCUCUGAGAUAACUGAGCACUUUAUUUCUAUGUCACUGUUGAUAUUUCUUGUCAAAGUUGGAGGGGAGGUCAGACUGAGUUUGCUCUCUAGAAAAGGGAAACAAAAGUGAAGUCAUAUCGGGUGAGAAACAAUGACAGAUAGAAUACACGGAGCAGCUUUCAUCGAAAAGAUGGCAAGUAGCCGUAUGAAUCUCAGCGCUACCUGGGUACUGCACCAUCACAGCCACUUGGUUGGAUAGACGUAGGUUCUUGUCAACAUUUUGGAUGAAGGCAGACACCUUACACUGGUACCUCCCUGCCUCUCUGGGGCUGGCACCAUUGAUAAGCAGUGAGUGAGUGACCCCAUUGGGUUUGUUCUCUACUCCCAACUGGUAGACGUGCUGGUCUCCAGACCACCUGAUAUCACCAUUCCAGUUCAGUUCAAGGAUUUUUUGAAUGGUUGAGUCGUCGUGCCGCAGAAUCCAUAUCAAAGUUGUUGGCACACGUGGCCCUUGGACCCGGCACAUCAACUCCACAUUUUCUCCAACAGUCACACUAGUUUUGCGACUGAUCAGUUUCACAGAUGACUCUGUAAUCGAGUGAGAAACAAGAACUUGGUGAUCUCACAAUCCUCAUGCAUCCAUGAUGGUUCCAAGUACAAAGGACUAGAGUAAAAAACAUUCAUAAAGUAGUCCACCUCUUCUCUAACUUAUAUUUGUGGUCUUCUACACAAUUUCUCAAAAUCCCCACCCUAUUUAAAACAAGAAAUGGUCAAGAUGCCUGUUGUCAUCCAGAUAUAUUAACAGAAAUGACUCAUUCAAAUAUAUCGUCUUUGCAGUCUUAACACUUUUGAGAAAAUAGGUUUUUCCUCUUAGAAUGCAACGACAUGCAGUGGGGGGUACUUCAAAGUCUAUACUUUUAGACAUUAUCCACAGACACAUACUAUCAGGAGUUUAAAGCCCUGGAUGUAAAUAGUAAUAGUCAUUGCACCCUCCAACACAAAGAAUAUUGAACUGUACGAUUUUUACUCAUGCUCAGGCUUUUAAGUGAAAAUUAAUUUGUGCAAAUAAUAGGUUUUCCUCUUUUUAGAAGCAAGAUCAUGCAAAUAUCAUGAAAUAUUUGAUUUACCGCUUAAUUCAGCAAAUUUUCAGUAUGUGAGUUUCCCACAGAUGUAUCAAGAACGUGACAAGGACACGAGAUUUAAAAAAAGACUAAUCAACAACUCAAUGAUUGAAACCGACAUUGUCGGACAGAUACACAUCUUACCUGUGGGCCUAACUGUCACAGUGCUAGUUGUUGACUGGCUGUGGAUCUUGCUGUUUGUUUUCCAUUCAGACACAGAGCACCGGUAGAUGGCUGAAUCAGAGGGCGUGACCUCAUCCAGCUCUAAAGUGAAGGUGUUGGUCGCUGGGCGCGCUGCCCUCACUCCGCGACCCGCUGACUCCCCCUCUAUCUCUGUGACACCCUCCUGACUUAGACUGAUGAUGUUUUCAAACGUCGACGUGGACUGACGUUCCCAUGUGACAGAGAGUUGACCUUCAACCCCGUCCACUUUACAGGUUCCAUCGUAUUUAUGUUGAACUGGGUUGACCACAACGCACUCAAAGUCCCCUUCAUCACCUUUCUGCAGGCUCUGGAUCUCAAAGAGGACGGAGUUCGGAGACACAUGUUUCAGA